Molecule: ribosomal RNA, 624 nt
Filed under: Bacillus sp. E4.Cu 2
Lineage: Bacteria; Bacillati; Bacillota; Bacilli; Caryophanales; Bacillaceae
Description: bacterial SSU rRNA
Rfam family: Bacterial small subunit ribosomal RNA
Source: RNAcentral
GGGUAACCUGCCCAUAAGACUGGGAUAACUCCGGGAAACCGGGGCUAAUACCGGAUAACAUUUUGAACCGCAUGGUUCGAAAUUGAAAGGCGGCUUCGGCUGUCACUUAUGGAUGGACCCGCGUCGCAUUAGCUAGUUGGUGAGGUAACGGCUCACCAAGGCAACGAUGCGUAGCCGACCUGAGAGGGUGAUCGGCCACACUGGGACUGAGACACGGCCCAGACUCCUACGGGAGGCAGCAGUAGGGAAUCUUCCGCAAUGGACGAAAGUCUGACGGAGCAACGCCGCGUGAGUGAUGAAGGCUUUCGGGUCGUAAAACUCUGUUGUUAGGGAAGAACAAGUGCUAGUUGAAUAAGCUGGCACCUUGACGGUACCUAACCAGAAAGCCACGGCUAACUACGUGCCAGCAGCCGCGGUAAUACGUAGGUGGCAAGCGUUAUCCGGAAUUAUUGGGCGUAAAGCGCGCGCAGGUGGUUUCUUAAGUCUGAUGUGAAAGCCCACGGCUCAACCGUGGAGGGUCAUUGGAAACUGGGAGACUUGAGUGCAGAAGAGGAAAGUGGAAUUCCAUGUGUAGCGGUGAAAUGCGUAGAGAUAUGGAGGAACACCAGUGGCGAAGGCGACUUU